CUCAUGAGUGUAAACCUGAUGGGUAUGAAAUCUGUCAUGAUGGAAAGGUCAUUACUGUAUUUUCUGCUUCUAAUUAUUAUGAAGAAGGCAGCAACCGAGGAGCUUACAUCAGACUAAGUUAUGGUACAUCUCCACAAUUUUUCCAGUACCAAGUGACUAGUACAUCAUGCCUGAACCCUCUUUACCAAAGGGUGAAUGCUAUGGAAUUCAGUGCCUUCAGGAUACUAAAGGAAAGAAUGAUUGCAAGAAAAACUGACCUUAUCAAUGCUUUUGAGCUCCGAGAUCACAGUAGGACAGGAAAGAUUUCAUUGGCCCAGUGGGCUUUUUCUAUGGAGAGCAUUUUGGGGCUGAACUUACCGUGGAGAUCUCUGAGUUCGCAUCUGGUAAGCACUGACUCCAGCGGAAGCGUCGACUACAUGUCCAGCUUUGAUGACAUCCACAUUGAGAAGCCGAUGAAAGAUAUGAAGUCUGAUCUCAUUGAAACUAUGUACAGAUACCGAUCUGACCUGAAAAUCAUAUUUAAUAUCAUCGACACCGAUCAGUCAGGU
This 548-nucleotide long non-coding RNA is filed under the name Rattus norvegicus (Norway rat). RNAcentral's name for it is "long non-coding RNA NONRATT030517". The record is from RNAcentral. Lineage: Eukaryota; Metazoa; Chordata; Mammalia; Rodentia; Muridae.